Molecule: ribosomal RNA, 507 nt
Filed under: uncultured Actinomycetes bacterium
Lineage: Bacteria; Bacillati; Actinomycetota; Actinomycetes
Description: bacterial SSU rRNA
Rfam family: Bacterial small subunit ribosomal RNA
Source: RNAcentral
AGAGUUUGAUCAUGGCUCAGGACGAACGCUGGCGGCGUGCUUAACACAUGCAAGUCGAGCGGAAAGGCCCUUCGGGGUACUCGAGCGGCGAACGGGUGAGUAACACGUGAGUAAUCUGCCCUUGGCUUUGGGAUAACUACCGGAAACGGUGGCUAAUACCGGAUACGACACAGGUGUGCAUGCGCUCUGUGUGGAAAGUUUUUUCGGCCAGGGAUGUGCUCGCGGCCUAUCAGCUUGUUGGUGGGGUAAUGGCCUACCAAGGCUUCGACGGGUAGCCGGCCUGAGAGGGUGACCGGCCACACUGGGACUGAGACACGGCCCAGACUCCUACGGGAGGCAGCAGUGGGGAAUAUUGGACAAUGGGCGGAAGCCUGAUCCAGCAACGCCGCGUGAGGGAUGACGGCCUUCGGGUUGUAAACCUCUUUCAGUACCGACGAAGCGCCGAUGAUGGUGGUGACGGUAGGUACAGAAGAAGCACCGGCCAACUACGUGCCAGCAGCCGCGGUA